RNAcentral lists this ribosomal RNA (253 nucleotides) under uncultured bacterium. RNAcentral's name for it is "partial 16S ribosomal RNA". It matches the Rfam family "Bacterial small subunit ribosomal RNA", at positions 524 to 776 of the family's 1533-position model. The record is from RNAcentral.
UACGUAGGGUCCGAGCGUUGUCCGGAAUUAUUGGGCGUAAAGGGCUCGUAGGCGGUUUGUCGCGUCGGGAGUGAAAACACGGGGCUUAACCCCGUGCCUGCUUCCGAUACGGGCAGACUAGAGGUAUGCAGGGGAGAACGGAAUUCCUGGUGUAGCGGUGAAAUGCGCAGAGAUCGGGAGGAACACCCGUAGCGAAGGCGGUUCUCUGGGCCGGUACUGACGCUGAGGAGCGAAAGCGUGGGGAGCAAACAGG